GUGGGGCUAGUUUAUUAAAAAUGUAGGUCUGUGGAACCUAAGUAAGUGUGAUUGCACUGCCCGACU
This 66-nucleotide transfer RNA is filed under the name Lottia digitalis (California fingered limpet). Its description in RNAcentral is "tRNA-His". Lineage: Eukaryota; Metazoa; Mollusca; Gastropoda; Lottiidae. The record is from RNAcentral.